Molecule: transfer RNA, 69 nt
Filed under: Ictidomys tridecemlineatus (thirteen-lined ground squirrel)
Lineage: Eukaryota; Metazoa; Chordata; Mammalia; Rodentia; Sciuridae
Description: Spermophilus tridecemlineatus (thirteen-lined ground squirrel) tRNA
Rfam family: tRNA
About the family: Transfer RNA (tRNA) molecules are approximately 80 nucleotides in length. Their secondary structure includes four short double-helical elements and three loops (D, anti-codon, and T loops).
Source: Rfam by way of RNAcentral
GGGGUUAUGGCUCAGCGGUAGAGCAUUUGCCUAGCAUGUAGGAGGCCCUGGGUUCGAUCCUCAGCACCA